Long non-coding RNA from Salvelinus sp. IW2-2015, 1444 nucleotides. RefSeq lists it as uncharacterized. Lineage: Eukaryota; Metazoa; Chordata; Actinopteri; Salmoniformes; Salmonidae. The record is from RefSeq and is a predicted model, not a curated record.
UCAUUGUGGCGAUACCGUCUUCUUGUAAUAUAGCCUUACAAACUCGUCUUUAAACAAAGGAUUUCUGUCAUUUCAGGCACACAAUUGUCAAAGCCAAAAAGGUGGCCACCCUCAAUGUAGUUUGUCAGACAGAAAGGUGACCUACUGUAUGUCUGUCUCUAUCCCGCUCACUGAAUUGACCUCAAAUAUAGUCUAGGCACUACUCCGUCAAGUCUGUAAUAAGCAAAUGACUGAAUCAAAGAUUAAUAGCGUACUGCAUAGUUUAACAAAAUAGUUAUGUAAUUAGGCGCAUUGACAACAUCAAACAUCAACAUCAAAUCCAGAGGCAAUAUUGCCUGCAUCUUUGCACUGGAUGAAGGAACAAGUAUUUAUUUUAGCUGAGGGGUAUACAAAUCAUUGAUGUUCAUUGCAAACAUUGGAGUUGUGCAGCAAUCAGAAAUUAUCAUCGUCAAAAUCAUGACUUUUUUUUUUAAAUCACGCGUUUCAUUGAUUCACGGAGUUAUCACACUUCUGACACCAGGGUAACCCAUUCAGACACUAACGUUACCAUUAGCGCCUAUUGAUGAUAAUGCUGUGUCUUCUGGCCGGGGCAGUUUUGUUAAGGGCUUCGAAUCUCGUUCUGAACGUUAAAACGCGUCACUUGUGGUACGGUUUUGGAAAUCGGCGAGGUAUAAUACAAAUAAAAGGUUAAAUCACCACACACCUUUAUUCUGUUAGGGUUAGUGUUCGCACACUGUCAUAUCUCCAUGAUACUUACAGUGAAUGUUAACGGAAGACAGAGAAAGCCACCCGUGCUAAUUAGCCAUCUAGCAUGCUUUGAAUACGUAAGCUAACUGGGGAGGAGGUGUAGUUCCUCAAGUGGAGGAACAACGUAUGGAUCUGUGCAAAACUGCUACAGGCCAGAUCCUUGAGUCUUUCAACAUGGCGGCUCUGUGGCAGCUGCCAUGUAUCUUCAUCUAUGAGAACCACAAGUUUGGCAUGGGGGCGUCUGUAGAGGUCAUCUGCUAGCACUGAGUACUUCGAGAAGAGACUAUAUUCCUGGCCUCAAGGUGUAUGUUGACGGCAUGGACAUUCUGUGUGUGAUGGAGUCCAAAUUUGCUGCAGACCACUGAAGAGCCAGAACUGUGAUUGGUUGUAGAACUGGAGAAGAGGAGUUCUGAUUGGUGCAGAGAUGGGAAAGUUAUAACUGGUUUAAGAGCUUGAAGAGUGUUAAGAAUCAAUUUGUCUCAGACAAUCUAAUCCCAGAGCGAUGAAAAGCUUCUAGUGUCACGUCAGUGUCUCUUCCCUGACAGAGGGAGGCUAUGUGACCAACAAAGAGAGACUAUAUGGAAGAGACUCCAGUACAGAACUGCAACUGGUCCCAGUUUUAAAUUAAAUAGUACCUGCAAAACACCAGUCUGGCCUUCUAGGCAGAGUUGCAAAGAAAAAGCCAUAUCUCAGACUG